AGAACGAACGCUGGCGGCAGGCUUAACACAUGCAAGUCGAACGCUCGUAGCAAUACGGGAGUGGCAGACGGGUGAGUAACGCGUGGGAACAUACCCUCCGGUUCGGAAUAGCUCAGGGAAACUUGGAUUAAUACCGGAUACGGCUGAGAGGCGAAAGAUUUAUCGCCGGAGGAUUGGCCCGCGUUCGAUUAGCUUGUUGGUGAGGUAACGGCUCACCAAGGCGAUGAUCGAUAGCUGGUCUGAGAGGAUGAUCAGCCACAUUGGGACUGAGACACGGCCCAAACUCCUACGGGAGGCAGCAGUGGGAAUAUUGGACAAUGGGCGCAAGCCUGAUCCAGCCAUGCCGCGUGAGUGAUGACGGCCUUAGGGUUGUAAAGCUCUUUCGCUCGGGACGAUAAUGACGGUACCGAGAUAAGAACGCCCGGCUAACUUCGUGCCAGCAGCCGC
Molecule: ribosomal RNA, 447 nt
Filed under: uncultured bacterium
Lineage: Bacteria
Description: SSU rRNA
Rfam family: Bacterial small subunit ribosomal RNA
Source: RNAcentral